UGGGGCGUCGCCAAGCGGUAAGGCACGGGCCUUUGGAGUCCGCAUUCGGAGGUUCGAAUCCUCCCGCCCCAG
RNAcentral lists this transfer RNA (72 nucleotides) under Acidobacteriota bacterium. Its description in RNAcentral is "Acidobacteria bacterium (hot springs metagenome) tRNA-Gln". It matches the Rfam family "tRNA". Rfam says of the family: Transfer RNA (tRNA) molecules are approximately 80 nucleotides in length. Their secondary structure includes four short double-helical elements and three loops (D, anti-codon, and T loops). Further hydrogen bonds mediate the characteristic L-shaped molecular structure. tRNAs have two regions of fundamental functional importance: the anti-codon, which is responsible for specific mRNA codon recognition, and the 3' end, to which the tRNAs corresponding amino acid is attached (by aminoacyl-tRNA synthetases). tRNAs cope with the degeneracy of the genetic code in two manners: having more than one tRNA (with a specific anti-codon) for a particular amino acid; and 'wobble' base-pairing, i.e. permitting non-standard base-pairing at the 3rd anti-codon position. Lineage: Bacteria; Pseudomonadati; Acidobacteriota. The record is from RNAcentral.